This 192-nucleotide ribosomal RNA is filed under the name uncultured bacterium. RNAcentral describes it as "partial 16S ribosomal RNA". It matches the Rfam family "Bacterial small subunit ribosomal RNA", at positions 825 to 1014 of the family's 1533-position model. The record is from RNAcentral.
GGGAGUAUCGACCCUUUCUGUGCCGAAGCUAACGCUUUAAGUACCCCGCCUGGGAGUACGGUCGCAAGACUAAAACUCAAAGGAAUUGACGGGGGCCCGCACAAGCAGCGGAGCGUGUGGUUUAAUUCGAUGCUACACGAAGAACCUCACCAAGGCUUGACAUGUUAGAAGUAGUGAACCGAAAGGGAAACG